Molecule: ribosomal RNA, 63 nt
Filed under: uncultured bacterium
Lineage: Bacteria
Description: partial 16S ribosomal RNA
Source: RNAcentral
UGGUCUUGACAUCCCGAGAAUCUUUUAGAAAUAAGAGAGUGCCUUUUUUAGGAAUUUGGAGAC